This 506-nucleotide ribosomal RNA is filed under the name uncultured Glomeraceae. RNAcentral describes it as "SSU rRNA". It matches the Rfam family "Eukaryotic small subunit ribosomal RNA", at positions 569 to 1078 of the family's 1831-position model. The record is from RNAcentral. Lineage: Eukaryota; Fungi; Glomeromycota; Glomeromycetes; Glomerales; Glomeraceae.
GGCAGCCGCGGUAAUUCCAGCUCCAAUAGCGUAUAUUAAAGUUGUUGCAGUUAAAAAGCUCGUAGUUGAAUUUCGGGAUCAAUAUGUUGGUCGUGCCUCGGUACGUACUAGCUUAUUGGUUUCUCCUUUCUGAAGAACCAUGAUGUCAUUUAUUUGGUGUCGUGGGGAAUCAGGACUGUUACUUUGAAAAAAUUAGAGUGUUUAAAGCAGGCUCACGCUUGAAUACAUUAGCAUGGAAUAAUGAAAUAGGACGUUUGAUUCUAUUUUGUUGGUUUCUAGGAUCGACGUAAUGAUUAAUAGGGAUAGUUGGGGGCAUUAGUAUUCAAUUGUCAGAGGUGAAAUUCUUGGAUUUAUUGAAGACUAACUACUGCGAAAGCAUUUGCCAAGGAUGUUUUCAUUAAUCAAGAACGAAAGUUAGGGGGUCGAAGACGAUCAGAUACCGUCGUAGUCUUAACCAUAAACUAUGCCGACUAGGGAUCGGAUGAUGUAAUUUUUUAAUGUACUCA